RNAcentral lists this ribosomal RNA (366 nucleotides) under uncultured fungus. Its description in RNAcentral is "bacterial SSU rRNA". It matches the Rfam family "Eukaryotic small subunit ribosomal RNA", at positions 20 to 371 of the family's 1831-position model. The record is from RNAcentral. Lineage: Eukaryota; Fungi.
GUAGUCAUAUGCUUGUCUCAAAGAUUAAGCCAUGCAUGUCUGAGUACAAACUUUUACACAGUGAAACUGCGAAUGGCUCAUUAGAUCAGUUAUGGUUCCUUAGAUCGUACAAUCCUACUUGGAUAACUGUGGUAAUUCUAGAGCUAAUACAUGAAAGCACGCUCCGACUCCUCCGAGGAAGAGCGUUUUUAUUAGAACAAAACCAAUCGGUGCUCGCAUUCGCGGCGCCGUCCCAUUGGUGACUCUGAAUAACUUUGUGCUGAUCGCAUGGCCUCGAGCCGGCGACGUAUCUUUCAAAUGUCUGCCCUAUCAAGUUUCGAUGUUAGUUGACAUGACUAUCAUGCUGACAACGGGUAACGGGGAAUG